CACGUAGGCACCAAGCGUUGUCCGGAAUUAUUGGGCGUAAAGCGCACGUAGGCGGCAUAGCAAGUCGGAUGUGAAAUCCCUCGGCUCAACCAAGGAAGUGCAUCCGAAACUGCUGUGCUUGAGUACGAAAGAGGAUCGCGGAAUUCCCGGUGUAGAGGUGAAAUUCGUAGAUAUCGGGAGGAACACCAGUGGCGAAGGCGGCGAUCUGGGUCGAUACUGACGCUGAGGUGCGAAAGCGUGGGGAGCAAACAGG
This 253-nucleotide ribosomal RNA is filed under the name uncultured bacterium. RNAcentral's name for it is "partial 16S ribosomal RNA". It matches the Rfam family "Bacterial small subunit ribosomal RNA", at positions 524 to 776 of the family's 1533-position model. The record is from RNAcentral.